UGGAUGUGCAGCCUAGUCCAUGGAGCCGCUGUCCCUCCGCAUGAGAAGCAUGAUCUCCGGCCGCAUUGUUCGCUCUCGCUGCUUCCACUCGGUGAUGCAACACUCCGUGCCCUCUCAUUGGAUCCCAGAGUCUGCAGGGUGAACGAGACGCGCCAGGGUCGGGAUGAAGAGGUUUCACACCCCGAGAAGCUGAGCAUGUGGGCUAGGGCGACGAUAAAAUGCCUCGCUGCAGAGUUGGGGCGUGAAGUGUUAAAGAAUGUGGUGUUUCAAGUUCCAGUUUAUUAAAAUCGGACUACAUAAAUAUUAACAGCCAGACGAAACAGGCCACGGCGAAUCCACAAAAUAUACAUCACAGGCGUAAAACAAAUUCCACAAGUCAGUUAAUAAAACAUAGUUCAUCAUUCAUAAAGUGUACAGCACAGGUCGCUGCCUCAGUGGCGGCAGGGUAUUCAUUAGUCUCACGGCCCGAGGGAAGAGACUGUUGGCCAGCCUGGCAGUUCAGUGAAUCUGGAACACAACUGACAAGGCUGGAAUUUGUUCCACCCAUGCUCGAGAAGGUGGCAGUCUCAGCAUCUUAUUAACCCAUUAACUCUCUCCCAGGAUGUUGUUCCAGUGGUGAUGAGAUACAGCUUCUAAUGCUAGACAAUGGCGAUUUGAUUCUACCUUACUGCAAGAUCCGAAUUUUAUUAAAUUUAUGAAGGAACAGAUCGAUUUCUUCUUUUCAACUAAUUCCAAGGAUGAUAUUUCUUGCGGAACACUUUGGGACACUUUUAAAGCAUAUAUACGUGGACAGAUUAUCUCGUACUCUGCUGGUCUGAGAAAAUGCAUUAAGAAGGAAACUCUUUUAUUGGUUGAUAAAAUGAAAGAGAUUGACAAGAAAUAUUCGAUCACUCCUGGUAAGGAGCUUUACAAACAAAGGGUUGAACUUCAAACGGAACAUAGUUUAUUACUUACAUCUUUGAUUGAAAAUCAAUUAAUGAAAACGAGAUCUGAUUUUUAUAUACAUAGUGAUAAAUCGGGUAAACUGUUAGCUAGUCAAUUGAAGAAUGCUUUGGUUAAAUGUCAAAUUACUAAGAUCCAUCAGCAGAAUGGGGAUUUGACAGUUAACCAUGAUGAGAUAAAUAAAUGAUUUCAAGAUUUUUAUACCUUCCUGUAUCAUUCUGAAUUCCCUCAUGAUCGUAAUACCAUGUGUGAUUUUCUUGGGAAAUUGAAUUUUCCAAAAUUAUCAUCAGAUGAUAUUUCAAUAUUAGAAACUCCUAUUACAGAUGCAGAAAUUAAAGGGGUUAUUUCCUCCAUGAAUUCUGGGAAAGCACCAGGUCCAGAUGGGUAUACAGUAGAAUUUUUAAAAUGUUUUUCGGCUACUCUUUCUCCUUGGUUAUGCAGGGUUUUAGAAGAAAUUAGAUUGGGCAAUUUGCCACAUAGAGCUUCCAUUUCUUUAAUAUUGAAGAAAGAUAAAGACCCUACUGACUGCGCAUCCUAUAGACCAAUACCUUUAUUGAAUGUAGAUUCCAAGAUCUUUUCCAAGUUACUGGCAUCCAGGUUGGAGAAGGUAUUACCCCAAAUUAUUUUGGAAGAUCAAACCGGUUUUAUUAAAAAUCGUUAUUCUUUUUUCAAUGUUAGGAGAUUAUUGAAUAUUGUUUAUACUCCUUCAAAUAGCACUUCAGAAUGUGUUAUUUCAUUAGAUGCAGAAAAAGCAUUUGAUGGAGUUGAAUGGCUAUACUUAUUUAAUGUGCUGGAGAAGUUUAAUUUUAGUCUGACAUUCAUUUCCUGGAUUAAACUGAUAUAUCAUACUCCAGUAGCAGUGCUUACUAACAAUCAAAGAUCUCCCUUUUUUCGUUUAUUUCGGGGCACUAGACAAGGCUGUC
Long non-coding RNA from Hypanus sabinus (Atlantic stingray), 1865 nucleotides. RefSeq lists it as uncharacterized. NCBI's taxonomy places the organism in Eukaryota, Metazoa, Chordata, Chondrichthyes, Myliobatiformes, Dasyatidae. The record is from RefSeq and is a predicted model, not a curated record. The transcript has 3 exons.